UUUCCGUAGGUGAACCUGCGGAAGGAUCAUUCAUAAUAAGUGUUUAUGGCACUCUUUUAAAUCCAUAUCCACCUUGUGUGCAAUGUCAGGGUUGAUUUUUCUCUCGAGGGGAUCAGCCCCAAACAUCAACUAUAUCUCAACUCUUUGUCUGGAAAAUAUUAUGAAUAGAACAAUUCAAAAUACAACUUUCAACAACGGAUCUCUUGGCUCUC
Molecule: unclassified non-coding RNA, 212 nt
Filed under: plant metagenome
Description: partial contains small subunit ribosomal RNA, internal transcribed spacer 1, and 5.8S ribosomal RNA
Source: RNAcentral